This 89-nucleotide transfer RNA is filed under the name bacterium. Its description in RNAcentral is "tRNA-Leu". It matches the Rfam family "tRNA". Rfam says of the family: Transfer RNA (tRNA) molecules are approximately 80 nucleotides in length. Their secondary structure includes four short double-helical elements and three loops (D, anti-codon, and T loops). Further hydrogen bonds mediate the characteristic L-shaped molecular structure. tRNAs have two regions of fundamental functional importance: the anti-codon, which is responsible for specific mRNA codon recognition, and the 3' end, to which the tRNAs corresponding amino acid is attached (by aminoacyl-tRNA synthetases). tRNAs cope with the degeneracy of the genetic code in two manners: having more than one tRNA (with a specific anti-codon) for a particular amino acid; and 'wobble' base-pairing, i.e. permitting non-standard base-pairing at the 3rd anti-codon position. The record is from RNAcentral.
GCCCAGGUGGUGAAACUGGUAGACACGCUGGCUUGAGGGGCCAGUGCCUUUUAACGGGCGUGAAGGUUCGAAUCCUUUCCUGGGUACCA